RNAcentral lists this ribosomal RNA (253 nucleotides) under uncultured bacterium. RNAcentral's name for it is "partial 16S ribosomal RNA". It matches the Rfam family "Bacterial small subunit ribosomal RNA", at positions 524 to 776 of the family's 1533-position model. The record is from RNAcentral.
UACGGAGGGUGCGAACGUUGCUCGGAAUCAUUGGGCGUAAAGCGCGCGUAGGCGGUCCACUAAGUCGGGUGUGAAAGCCCUCGGCUCAACCGGGGAAGUGCAUCCGAAACUGAUGGGCUAGAGUACGGGAGAGGGUAGCGGAAUUCCCGGUGUAGAGGUGAAAUUCGUAGAUAUCGGGAGGAACACCAGUGGCGAAGGCGGCUACCUGGACCGAUACUGACGCUGAGGCGCGAAAGCGUGGGGAGCAAACAGG